RNAcentral lists this long non-coding RNA (201 nucleotides) under Mytilus galloprovincialis (Mediterranean mussel). The record is from RNAcentral. Lineage: Eukaryota; Metazoa; Mollusca; Bivalvia; Mytilida; Mytilidae.
CCAUAAUCACAUGGCAAAAUCAAAUGACAAAACACAUCAAAAACGAAUGGACAAGAACUGUCAUAUUCCUGACUUGGUACAGGCAUUUUCAAAUGUAGAAAAUGGUGGAUUAAACCUGGUUUUAUAGCGCUAAACCUCUCACUUUGUUGACAGUCUCAUCAAAUUCCGUUAUAUUUACAAUGAUGCGUGGACUAAACAGAC